CUGUAAAGAUGUUGGGGUUUUUUGGACUCUUCUUUGUUGUCCCCAAAUAAUUGUAGCUCAGAAACAAUAUUGAAGUUCAUUGGUAAAAUUGGUAAAAUUUUGAAAUGUUGAUGUUUUUUGUGUUGAUUGUGCUCAUUUUGACCUAUGUUACUAUUGCUUUCUACCAUGUUCAAUUCACCAUUGUUCUGCACAUAUGUGCUUGCAUACAAGUGUCCAGUGGUUAUAUUCAUGAGGCAUUCAAGGGACUUGUACUAAAAGAUACAACUCAGUUCAGUAUGAAUUGCAUAUUUUAAUGGCUGAAAAUAUAUCUGAUCUCUUUCAGAACAUCACCUGUCUGUAAUCCACCUGCGUAAGUACUGGUCAAGGGGCUCAUCGGCUAUCAAGUUAUAGAUUUCAGUGGCUAAUAGAAGACACUGCUGAGGUCAGACGAGAGUGCAUCCUCAAAGGUCUGUGUGUACCUAAAUGAAGAUCCAGAGAAGCUGGUGAGGGAGUACAUGGACGUUGAUGAAUGAAAUGGCCAAAGCCGAGACUGUCCUCGGAAUCGUCAUUUGAGCAGAGGGUGCAGAGGCUGCCGAUGCACAUCUGGAUGUUGGGAUUGUCCUGGAGGAGGUGGAAGUUAUGAACAGCUUGGGCAGUGUAUCUUCUGCAAUAGUGAUGCUACUGGGACUAAUCUACGCACUAAACUUGAGCUACCCUCAAGUUUAGUGCGUUCAGCACUCAACUUGCUCAGUAACUCAAGCAUACCUUUGAAGUAAUACAGAAAAUAAUAAUGAAAUUGGAUGGAAAGAACUUAUCAAAGAAAGCACAAGUUCUCAAUAUGAAACUCGCCGCUAAGUUGAGUAAAGUUUCAUAUGGAAAAUGAGUGUUUAAAGUCUGCAGUAGAAAAGAUUUAUAUUGUUACAGUUCUCUAAGUUGAGCAACUAUACUGACAUGUUUUAUGUUGUAAAGAAUUGGCUGGGAAAUGAAACUGUAACCUUUUUGUAGUUGUUUUUUUAUUUCAAUGUCCAACUCAGCUGUGUUUUGUGCUGUGUAAAAAAACGAUGUAUAAUAAUUCUGAAAAUACAAUUGUGUUGUACCUUU
Molecule: long non-coding RNA, 1080 nt
Organism: Poeciliopsis prolifica (blackstripe livebearer)
Lineage: Eukaryota; Metazoa; Chordata; Actinopteri; Cyprinodontiformes; Poeciliidae
Exons: 3
Source: RefSeq, a predicted model, not a curated record